This 497-nucleotide ribosomal RNA is filed under the name uncultured bacterium. RNAcentral describes it as "partial 16S ribosomal RNA". It matches the Rfam family "Bacterial small subunit ribosomal RNA", at positions 28 to 507 of the family's 1533-position model. The record is from RNAcentral.
GAUGAACGCUGGCGGCGUGCCUAAUACAUGCAAGUCGAGCGAACAGAUAAGGAGCUUGCUCCUUUGACGUUAGCGGCGGGCGGGUGAGUAACACGUGGGUAACCUACCUAUAAGACUGGAAUAACUCCGGGAAACCGGGGCUAAUGCCGGAUAACAUUUAGAACCGCAUGGUUCUAAAGUGAAAGAUGGUUUUGCUAUCACUUAUAGAUGGACCCGCGCCGUAUUAGCUAGUUGGUAAGGUAGCGGCUUACCAAGGCAACGAUACGUAGCCGACCUGAGAGGGUGAUCGGCCACACUGGAACUGAGACACGGUCCAGACUCCUACGGGAGGCAGCAGUAGGGAAUCUUCCGCAAUGGGCGAAAGCCUGACGGAGCAACGCCGCGUGAGUGAUGAAGGUCUUCGGAUCGUAAAACUCUGUUAUUAGGGAAGAACAAAUGUGUAAGUAACUGUGCACGUCUUGACGGUACCUAAUCAGAAAGCCACGGCUAACUACGUG